Molecule: ribosomal RNA, 300 nt
Filed under: uncultured Ignisphaera sp.
Lineage: Archaea; Thermoproteati; Thermoproteota; Thermoprotei; Desulfurococcales; Desulfurococcaceae
Description: bacterial SSU rRNA
Rfam family: Bacterial small subunit ribosomal RNA
Source: RNAcentral
GAAACUGUGGGACGGGAGGCGCUGUAAGACCGAGGGUGCGGUGGGUAAGUGGAAUUACUGGGCGUAAAGCGAGGGUAUGUGGUUCAUUAAGUCACAUGUGGAAUCCCCGGGCUUAACCUGGGAACUGCAUGUGAUACUGGUGGUGCUAGAAUAUGUGAGAGGGAAGUAGAAUUCCAGGUGUAGCGGUGAAAUGCGUAGAGAUCUGGAGGAAUACCGAUGGCGAAGGCAGCUUCCUGGCAUAAUAUUGACACUGAGAUUCGAAAGCGUGGGUAGCAAACAGGAUUAGAUACCCUGGUAGUC